GCGGACUCCAGCGGCUCACUCCAGCGGCUCCCAGUCGACGGUGCUCGCCGGAAUCCAGUUGCAGCGGCGGUGGAUUCCUCGGCUAGAUACAGAUCGAGAGAGAACCGAAGGGAGCGUUUGAUUUAGGAGAGAUUAGAGCGAGAUUGAGGAAGAGAGAAGGAGGCGCCGGACCUCGGCGCGAUAGAGGCUGAUUCGCCGGAUUUCGGAGCUCUGCAACUCCAGGCCGCG
This 228-nucleotide long non-coding RNA is filed under the name Salvia miltiorrhiza (redroot sage). Its description in RNAcentral is "long non-coding RNA (SMIL_LNC002301)". The record is from RNAcentral. Lineage: Eukaryota; Viridiplantae; Streptophyta; Magnoliopsida; Lamiales; Lamiaceae.